Molecule: transfer RNA, 69 nt
Filed under: Salamandrella keyserlingii (Siberian salamander)
Lineage: Eukaryota; Metazoa; Chordata; Amphibia; Caudata; Hynobiidae
Description: tRNA-Lys
Rfam family: tRNA
About the family: Transfer RNA (tRNA) molecules are approximately 80 nucleotides in length. Their secondary structure includes four short double-helical elements and three loops (D, anti-codon, and T loops).
Source: RNAcentral
CACUAAGAAGCUUUCAAUAAGCAAUAGCCUUUUAAGCUAUAGAUCGGUGAUUUAACCCACCCUUAGUGA